This 1057-nucleotide long non-coding RNA is filed under the name Pongo abelii (Sumatran orangutan). Its description in RNAcentral is "lincRNA". The record is from RNAcentral. Lineage: Eukaryota; Metazoa; Chordata; Mammalia; Primates; Hominidae.
CCCGCCGCCAUCCAUCCUGGCGCUCCGGAUGAGUCAAUGAGGGGCAGCGCCCGAGGAAUGGUCUUCCCAAGAACCCCCGGUGGCCUCCCAAGGCCGGUGCUGUGUACCUCCUCCCCGACAAAAGGGGCAACUGAGGCCCCGAGGGGAGUGGGAAGAGCCGGCUGGACGUCAGGCCCAGCCGCUGGUGCGGUAGUCCGUCCCCUCCGCCGGGGUGGGCCCCUCGGGUUUCGCGUGUCCUCGGGAAAGAGACUGGCGGGCCUCGUGGGCUGUGCGGCUCUCCUGGAGACAGAUGACAGCUCUCCCUUGGAUGGCUUUGCUAGUUUCGCACCAGCCAGCGCCCCAUUUUUCCUGCAGCACCCUGAUCCGCACUCCCUGAGGGGCUCCCACUGUCCGCGGUGUGAGGAUGUCCCUGGAUAGUCCACUGUGUGCAGAGGCAUGGGAGUUGUCAUGUCGAUAACAUGCUAGACCUCAGUGUCCUUGAGCUUGAAGAAAGACAACAGAACACUGGAGACCAAGUACUUGCAGCCUUCUGCUCUGUGGCCCCUCCUCACUCCAGGGAUGCCGCCUUGGGUCUGGAGACUGUUAGAGGAAACCCCAAGAGGUGCAAGCACUGAGCCUCUCAGGACAAUGACCUGGGAUUCCACCUCCCCUGGAGGGGCCUCCUCAUGAUUGUUUGGGGGUUGAUCACAGACCAAGAGUGAUGAGUGAUGUCACCCUGUGAUGCAUGGCUGGACCUUCUUGCCCCUAUUGUCUCAGCACAACAUUAAUCGACUUUUCCCUCAGCGUGGGUGGGCAGAGGAAAAGCCCUGUGGCUCUGGGGACUUGGGAUCCAGAGUUGAAGACCCUUCAGCUGGCUCUGCCCUGCCAGUGCCACAGAGUGCCAUGGCCCAGGAAGACUGGUUUUCUUCCAUCUAGGCCAGGCCAUCCAGUGGCCAUCCUUCGUGUCCUCCCACCUCCUUCUGGUGUGACUUCUGAAAACCAAGAAUUUGUUCCUGUUGACUUUUUCUGUGCUAUGGACCAUUGUCCUCUGACCCACUCAAUAAAUCUUGAAACAUGC